Long non-coding RNA from Dama dama (fallow deer), 4424 nucleotides. RefSeq lists it as uncharacterized. The transcript has 3 exons. NCBI's taxonomy places the organism in Eukaryota, Metazoa, Chordata, Mammalia, Artiodactyla, Cervidae. The record is from RefSeq and is a predicted model, not a curated record.
CACACCAGGCUCCUACGUCCAUAGGUUUUCCCAGGCAAGAAUACUGGAGUGGGUUGCCAUUUCCUUUUUGAGGGGAUCUUCUUGACCCAGGGAUAGAACCUGCAUCUCCUGCAUUGGUAGGUAGAUUCUUCACUGCUGAGCCAUUCUGCAUUUACCAGGUACAAAAAUAUUCUUUCUGAUGUGUGCAUGUGUAUUAUCUUACAUUUCCAUAAAACUUUUCUUUUUAAAGCUUAGGCUUGCAUUAGUUCAUUUAAUUCUGAUAGUAACCCUAUAGGGAGGCUGCUCAUGUACUGUCUCUGUCUUAUCACUUCAUAGACAAGAAAACUGUGAUGCACACAGCUUUCAUCACUGGAAAAAUGUCUCGUGAUUCACCUAAACAGUAUCCAUCCACAUCUGUUGUCUAUCCAGAGGGAAGAAUGAUGUGCAAGAAACCACAUUUUUAAUGAAAUUUCAAUAUCUGACAUAUAUUUCCUAUAAGAAAUGUAAAUAAGGUUCAGUUUUUAUUGGAAGUAUGUUUUCUGAAAUGGUCAUUUUUAUUUUUUUUUGAAAUGGUCAUUUUUAAAAAGUGAAUGUGAUGUAAUUGCAGCUAAAUUCAGCUGCACUGAUUUAAUCAUCAGCAAUGGUGAACGGACAGGUGUUUGAGAAAUUACAAAACUGUAUGGGACUUGACUAAACAAAAUUUUAAAUUUUACAAUCUCGAUUCAUUUCUUUCUUUAUAUAAUCUUGAUUCUCUCUUCUCUUUAGUGGAAAGAGAACAGUAAUCAUAGUGGAAAAUAUUAAUGGGUUAAACGCUUACCCUACCUUCUUCAGUAUGAGAACCUGUCACCUUCUGCUAAUACUUUUUAUCUUAAAAAAAGACAGAUCGGGCUGUAAUUGCACACUUAACUUACUGAUUCUCCAGCAGUGGGUCAUAGCUCCCCAGCUGUGAUGUCAGAAGAUUGCCUAGGGGAUUGCAACGACUGUAACCUCUGUUUCUUGCCCCUUUACCCUCCCUCAUCUAUAAUAAACUGUCUUAUAAAUUUUGCUAUAUACAUUUAGAACCACAUCAGAUUUUUAUAGUGUUUGCUUCCACCAUCAAACAUAAUAUAAAACUCUUGAAGAGAAGGAAAAUCUUUUGUAUUCAUCUGUAUUCUUCUUACCAUGUAUUUUCUUCCUUCCUAGGGUUCCAAGUUUCCGUCCUUUGAUGUUUUCUGUUUAGCCAUUGUUUUAGGAUAGGUCUGUGGGUGUCCAAUUCUCUAACCAUCUGAGAUUGUUUUUAUUUCCCCUUUAUACUUGAAGGUUGGUUUUUUUUUUUUUUUUCCCUGAGUAUGAGAUUCUGCAUUGACAGUUUCUUAUUUUUAGUACUUUAAAAAUAGUGUGCCACAUCCUUCUGACCAGCAUAGUCUCUGCUGGUAAAUUCAGUCAUUCUGAUUGUUUCCCUAUUACAGGGACGCUGUCUUCUUCUUCUUCUUCUUUUUUUUUUUUGUGGCUUUCAAGAUUUGUUCUGUCUUUAGUUUUCCAAAGUUUAAUUAUGAUGUGUCUUGGUAUAGAUUUCUUUGGGUUUAUCCUAUAAGGAAUCUGAUUCUGUGACUCUAUGCCUUUUGCCAAGUUUGAGGAGUUUUCAGUUAGUAUUUUUUUUUUUUUUAUAAUACUGUUAGAUCUUAUUAGUUUCACUGAGCCAUUUUUAAUUACUAUUCUAUUUUCUCUCUCUUGAUCAGAUUGAAUAAUUUCUAUUGUGCUAUCUUGAGUUUACUGAUUCUUUUCUUUGCCACUCCCAUUCUACUGUUGAGCUUAUCCACCAAGCUUUUUAUUCAGUUCUAAAAUUUCCGUUUGGUUCUCCUCAAUCUCUUCGUUUUCUUUGCUGAGUUUGUUUCUCUGCUGAAGCUUUCUAAUUUUUUCAUUAAUUUCAAGCACGUUUGUAAUUAUGUGGAAACAUUUUUAUCAUGGCUGCUGUAGAAUCCUUUUCAGAGAAUCCUAACAUCUCUGUGAUCUGUGUCAGCAUCUCUUGUCUUUUUUCAUUCAAGUUGAGGUUUUUCUGGUUCCUGUUUCGACAAGUGAUUUUCUUUUGAAACACGGACAUUUUUUAUUAUGUUGUGAGACUCUGGAUCUUAUUCAGACUUUCUGUUUUAACUGACGCUACUCUGGUUGAGAAGCAGCAGCACCAUCUUGUUAUACUGCUGGGGGAGGUGUACGUAUAGCCUCCCCACCUGGUCCCCACUGACACCCCAAGGAAGGAGGACUGUUUAUUACACGUGGGUAGGGGUUGGAGUUCUUGCUCACUACAGGUCUUCAUUGUCACCGUGGUGGGGUGGCUUCGUUGCUGCUCGGCCAUGGGAGGAAGCACCUCCUCUGACCCCAUCCCAGCAGGGAGGGAGCGCAUGUGCAGGCACCGCCGGCGAAGAGUCAGGGUUGGCUGUUGGGGGUGAAAGUCCUGCUCGCCGCUGGGCCUUCUGUGACAUCGCCCAGAUCAGGGUGUCCAGGUGCCUGAUUCUAGCCUCAUGAGGGUGUGCAUCUAGGUCCUCACUCAGCCUUUGCUGUUGUCAGCAGGUGUGAGGGCACCAUUCUUUUCUGUAGUGUUCGGUUGUAGAACAGCAGUUAUUGUCUAAAGGAUCAGAUCUGUAAGGUAUUGCUUUUUGAGAUCAUCAAAAUACUAAUGAGUUUUAAUUCAAAAUCAGAGAAUUCUAAAUGAGUCCUAUAUAGGAUGGGCAUGUUAAAAUCAUUAGUUUGUAGAUUUGGUGCUUUUGCGUUUGCACAAAAACAAAGCAACCCAUUAGACUACUUCAGGGGAUUUAGCUGUCGAUAAAAUGAAUAACUUCAUUCAUGUAAUUCUUUGCUUCAGCAAAUGAAUUGUAAUGGUGGCAUUAUCUAACCAUUUGGGAAACGUUUACUGAACAAUCACAAUUUAGGAUGCUGUGGAGACACACAAAUAAAAGGCAAGGCUACUGUAACUGAAUGAAAAAAAAAUGGAAAACAGAACUGGGGAAUCAGCUAUGAAUAGUGGAAAUACACAGUGACACAGAGAUACAGCAUUAUAGGUGGCAAGAAAGAUGUUAUCAUUCAGACGUAAUCUUGAGUCAAAUAAACUCCAUGUAUACAUACACAUUCUGUAAGAACAGGUCAGAAGGUUGAACAUAAAUCAUAAUGAUGUCUGAUUAUAAUCAGACUGUGCCUUCAGUUUUAAUCACACCCAUGUAUGUUUCCUAUUUUUUUAUUUUAGUAGAAGCAGGACACUGGCUACUUGUGUGAUCAUGGGCCAAUCACUGGUCUAAGCCUGUUUCAUCUCUGAAAGUUAUCAUACCUUCAGAAACUGCAGUAGCAUGGUCAUGAAAGAGCGUAGGCCCCGGAUGCGGGCUUUGCGGGCUGGAAUCAUGGCGCCUCCAUCUCCUAGCCACGUGAGCUGGGCAGGUGACUGCUUGUGCCUCGGUUUCGUCUCCUGUUGUAAAAGUCAGCUUCCCAGAGAGUCCAUGCUGGGCGCAGAGCAACACGGACACAGGGAUGGAGCCGAUCACAAGGGGUCUGAGCAUCCUCUCACCUGCUCCCCUUCCCCGGCGGUCUGUGCUGCUACCGUGGAGAUGAGUCAAACCGCGGUAAACUCAGUGUGACUCAGCAAGGCUCCCAGACGUGAGCAUAGUCUGUAUGGUUUCUAGACUGGUUCUUAAGCUUUUUCUGUCCCUAAACAGCUCAGGUUGCUUAAUACCACACUGACUUUUCAAGAGGAGGCCAUGCUCACCUGGAGGAGAAGUAACUGAAAGUCUCCAGUAAUGCUCCUCCCACACAGUGAAUUAAUUUGCGAUCAUUCUAAGCUAAGCGAAGGAGAACACUAGAAUAUAUUUUGAAUUCUCAACAGUGAGAGCUGUUUAAGCACUUCUGAAUAGAAAUCAGGAAUUAUGAUAGAUUUCACAUUAUUAUAAACCUUAGAGAUCUUUACAUUUUUGGAUGUAUGUACAGACACUAGCUGAAAACCAGCUGUGAAUGAUUGUGGAUAUUUGGAGUAAAAGCAGCUAUAAUUCUUCAUUUAGCUUUCUUUGCAAAGUGGUUUGUAGGUAUUCUAAACUCACUGAGCAAUGACAUAAUACAAUACUAAAAAAAAAGGUAUUAUAAAAAGUAAAGUUUACUCCACGACUAUCCACCUUGCUUGUAGCCCAAAGUCAUCACGAUUCUGUCUACUGUACAAGUUUUCACUGAAUUUCUUAGGCAAGCCAGUAGGCCUAAUGAAGACCCUAAGAAGAGACUAAAAAAAUCCAGAAGGCAGUAAGCCAGCUGGAGGCAGGUAUCGGGGAUCAGUAGGCAAUCCUGUCUAUGAAACUGCCUCUCUGAGUCAGGAGACCUGAGUGGGCCCUAAAGCAGGGCGAGGGGUGACAGGAAAGCCAGCUGACGUCACUGGCAACUUACUGUAUGGUCUGAGGUCUUCCCCCUACUUAAGAUCAGCUGUAACAUAAACAAUA